Molecule: small RNA, 2613 nt
Filed under: Cryptococcus neoformans H99
Lineage: Eukaryota; Fungi; Basidiomycota; Tremellomycetes; Tremellales; Cryptococcaceae
Description: Cryptococcus neoformans var. grubii H99 hypothetical RNA
Source: RNAcentral
CUCACAGCCGGUAUCGAAAACGUCGGCCACCCCCCUCCCUGCGUAUACGUCACCGUCUGCCCCCCCUCGUCCACAUAAACCCCCGGCGGAUCCCCCUCGUCCCCUACGCAGUCCUGGUACACACCAUCCCACCCGAUCCCAUUCGACGUGAAGAAAUAACACCCCAUCUCGUCGUACACGGUAGGGCAGUACUGCGCGUCGGAGCAUGCGCGCACGCAGUAGAUCGUAGAUGAUAUCAUUGUCUACUUGAUUAUCAUCCGUGGUGUAUAAAACAGCCCCGUCGGGUGUAUUCCCCACACUAUCGAACUGGGCACCUUGGUCGCCUGCCGGAAUAUUGAUCUUUGUAAAAUCCCCCCUGUGCCUUUUGUAAGGCAAACCUGUUCGUCUUCACAUACGUCACCCCAUUCAACGUCCCCUCUGGCACCACUCGAUUCCCAUGUCGCCGGUCCGUGCACCACGAAACGACGUCUCUGUUUAUUUGCGAAAUGGAAGACGUGUUGGAGGGUAGAGGAGAUGGGGGACCGAACAGGCAGAAAUCCGUAUGCGAGAUGAGGUAGAGAGAGCGCGGGGGGUCGCCUUCUCCAUCUCCAUGGACAUUUCGAUGAGGAUGAUGAUAUUGCGCGGUGGUAUGGCGGAUGAGGAGAAAGAGGAAUAGUAGUGGGGUUGUGCGGCUCAGUCUUUGCGGGAGAGCCGCCGGUCGGGGAUGGGGGUGGGACAAUGAGGAAAAGGAAAAGGGCAUGUUUAUGUCUGUGUCUGUGUCUGCCUGUUCGAUUUUACUGCGGGCAACAAGGAUACAAAGAUGCAAAGAUUGGUUUCACCUUUUACCAGCUGUCGACUCUUAAUUGGUACAAAGCUCACACGCCGAGACGAUACUCGGGGGAGAGACUGGGGAAUAACAAAAGAGAACUAGACAUCCUUUGUCUCGUGAUAUCACAAAGGAUAGACGGGGUACAUGCCAUUUUCUUAUUACUCAUAUAUAUUAUCGCCAGACGACCAGAGUUGUAUUCUACCGCUCGUGUUACCACCAACGACCCUGUCAACGAUAUUCGGAUGUGAAGCCGUCACCGUCGGCACAGCCGUCACACUAAAUUCAGGCAAUUAGCUUACUCUCAUUUGGAGACAGCACACAGCCGAAAAAAACCCACUCAUCCGUCCAGAGCGCCACAAUCUUCUCCCCCGUAGCAGAAACAACAUCCAAAGUCCUCUUCAUAUUCCCCACCGUAAAAUGCGGCAUGUACUCCAUAUUCAAACUCCAUUGCGCUCUCAAGAUUGUCAACCAUCUCCCCGUUUGGCAAUUAUGUCUCACGACCUUGGUCGGCUUGAAACCGUUCCCGUUGACGUUGUCGUUGACGUUGACGCUUGAUACCAACGGGUCAACAUUGAAUACACGUAAAUGAUCAUCAUAGCUCGUCGUGAGAAUACGGCGUCCCCAUGGAUCCCAGUACGCGCUGCUGCACGAUUUACCAUGCUGCCAUUUGGCGCGCAUCAGGCCUUUGCCUUGCGGGGAAGCGAGGUAGGACGUGAGGGUGUUGUAGUCGGACUCGAGGGUCGGGUGCGUGUUUUGCGGCGCGGUUUCUCCUUGUUCGGUGGCGGGGAGGGAAGCGACAGGGAUAGGGACAGGGUGGGAGGAGAUGGAAAAGAGGUGGCGGGUAUCCCAUAUUCGGACAUGUUGGUCGUUACCGGCCGUGCAAAUCAGGUGCGGCAUCAGUGCUAUAUGGAGCAAGCCCCUGCUUUUAAUUUAUUUAAACCAAUAAAAAUAAAACCCCCCCGACUCACGGUUCACACUCACACCGCCCAGCUUUGCACCCCUCCCUUCCUCUUGUACAACCCAUCGCCUCCUUCCACUCUCUUUUUUACUCUCCCUCGUAUCCCAAUGGCUUAUCCCACCAUUCUUAUCCACCAUCCACGCUUCUUGCGCACCAGGUAAAAGGUCAAAAUGGUUGAUAAGCAUGUCUUCGUCCUGGAAUGAAAACAGUUCGGUAGAUUGGAGGGUCGAAAAGUCGAGAUGUCGGAGGGAACAGUCAUAUGCAGUAGAGAAAAGCUAUAUAGCAUCUCUUGUAAGAUGGUGACUUUGGCCCCUGGGAUUAUGGGGGGAGAAAAAAAAACUUACACCAGAUCCAUUGACAGGAUCGACCUUCAUACAAGAGAUCGAGUUCUUUGCAUGUGCCUGCACGCGCCAUACUCGGCCUUCUUGAUACUCGUCCUCCUCUUUUGCAUUCAUCCCACCACUGGUAUCAUCUUCAUUCUCAGGCUUCUCCAUAGGCGGACCCAAGGCAUCCCAUCUACAAAAUUCCGUAAUCAGCUUGCGCCUAAGAAAAGAAAAGAAAACUAUAACUUUACAUUCCAAGUUGUCCGUAUUUAUCACCCACCAACACUAGUGUCUUGGUCUUCUCCGGGUGCACACACAUGCUGAAGACUCGUUCAUUGGUAACCUUGGUGUUCCCUUUAAGACUCAUAUCUUUAAAAGCAUCUUUGAGUCUUUGGACUUCCAAAGGGACGGCGGUAUCAGAGUCGGCAUACGCUUCAUGGGCGGAUACUGUUUCGGCUGGAUAGGUCCGGGGAUUCGAUAGCUCGGCGAUGGAUUGAAGAUACUUUUCCUGUAUGUAACCCCGC